This 491-nucleotide ribosomal RNA is filed under the name uncultured bacterium. RNAcentral describes it as "partial 16S ribosomal RNA". It matches the Rfam family "Bacterial small subunit ribosomal RNA", at positions 29 to 506 of the family's 1533-position model. The record is from RNAcentral.
AUUGAACGCUGGCGGCAUGCUUUACACAUGCAAGUCGAACGGUAGCAGGCCUUCGGGUGCUGACGAGUGGCGAACGGGUGAGUAAUGCAUCGGAACGUACCCAGAGGUGGGGGAUAACGCAGCGAAAGCUGUGCUAAUACCGCAUGUGAUCUGAGGAUGAAAGCGGGGGACCGAGCAGCAAUGUUUGGCCUCGCGCCUUUGGAGCGGCCGAUGUCGGAUUAGCUAGUUGGUGGGGUAAAGGCCUACCAAGGCGACGAUCCGUAGCUGGUCUGAGAGGACGACCAGCCACACUGGGACUGAGACACGGCCCAGACUCCUACGGGAGGCAGCAGUGGGGAAUUUUGGACAAUGGGCGCAAGCCUGAUCCAGCAAUGCCGCGUGCGGGAAGAAGGCCUUCGGGUUGUAAACCGCUUUUGGCAGGAACGAAACGGUGUCCGCUAAUACCGGGCGCUAAUGACGGUACCUGCAGAAGAAGCACCGGCUAACUACGU